GACAGGAUCUCGCGCGGCGUUGAUCCCGUGAACUCCCCCAGGGCAGGAAUGCAGCAAGGGUCAGCGGGCUCUCACGGGUGCGCGAGGUCCCUUAUUU
Molecule: signal recognition particle RNA, 97 nt
Filed under: Corynebacterium spheniscorum
Lineage: Bacteria; Bacillati; Actinomycetota; Actinomycetes; Mycobacteriales; Corynebacteriaceae
Description: Bacterial small signal recognition particle RNA
Rfam family: Bacterial small signal recognition particle RNA
About the family: The signal recognition particle (SRP) is a universally conserved ribonucleoprotein involved in the co-translational targeting of proteins to membranes. Archaeal SRP consists of a 7S RNA and homologues of the eukaryotic SRP19 and SRP54 proteins.
Source: Rfam by way of RNAcentral